AUCUUUGCGCUUGGGGCAAUGACGCAGUUAGUGAGGUGAAACCGAGACGCGUCAAUUGCUGGUUGAAACUAUUUCCAUAAGUGGGAAACAUGUUUUGAAUCAAUCACAACACCUUCAAUUUGCUUGUAUGAGU
RNAcentral lists this small nuclear RNA (133 nucleotides) under Marchantia polymorpha subsp. ruderalis. Its description in RNAcentral is "U4 spliceosomal RNA". It matches the Rfam family "U4 spliceosomal RNA". Rfam says of the family: U4 small nuclear RNA (U4 snRNA) is a component of the major U2-dependent spliceosome. The structure of U4 snRNA from yeast and human has been reported. U4 snRNA presents a k-turn RNA motif in the 5p-SL related to recognition of Snu13 protein. The record is from Rfam by way of RNAcentral. Lineage: Eukaryota; Viridiplantae; Streptophyta; Marchantiopsida; Marchantiales; Marchantiaceae.